UACGUAGGUGACCAGCGCUGUCCGGAUUUACUGGGCGUAAAGAGCGCGCAGGCGGUCGUUCAAGUCGAGUGUGAAAGCCCCCGGCUCAACUGGGGAGGGUCACUCGAUACUGAUCGACUGGAAGGCAGGAGAGGGAAGCGGAAUUCCCGGUGUAGUGGUGAAAUGCGUAGAUAUCGGGAGGAACACCAGUGGCGAAGGCGGCUUCCUGGCCUGUUCUUGACGCUGAGGCGCGAAAGCUAGGGGAGCAAACGGG
This 253-nucleotide ribosomal RNA is filed under the name uncultured bacterium. Its description in RNAcentral is "partial 16S ribosomal RNA". It matches the Rfam family "Bacterial small subunit ribosomal RNA", at positions 524 to 776 of the family's 1533-position model. The record is from RNAcentral.